RNAcentral lists this ribosomal RNA (482 nucleotides) under uncultured bacterium. Its description in RNAcentral is "partial 16S ribosomal RNA". It matches the Rfam family "Bacterial small subunit ribosomal RNA", at positions 30 to 507 of the family's 1533-position model. The record is from RNAcentral.
AUUGAACGCUGGCGGCAGGCCUAACACAUGCAAGUCGAGCGGAUGAAGGGAGCUUGCUCCUGGAUUCAGCGGCGGACGGGUGAGUAAUGCCUAGGAAUCUGCCUGGUAGUGGGGGAUAACGUCCGGAAACGGGCGCUAAUACCGCAUACGUCCUGAGGGAGAAAGUGGGGGAUCUUCGGACCUCACGCUAUCAGAUGAGCCUAGGUCGGAUUAGCUAGUUGGUGGGGUAAAGGCCUACCAAGGCGACGAUCCGUAACUGGUCUGAGGAUGAUCAGUCACACUGGAACUGAGACACGGUCCAGACUCCUACGGGAGGCAGCAGUGGGGAAUAUUGGACAAUGGGCGAAAGCCGGAUCCAGCCAUGCCGCGUGUGUGAAGAAGGUCUUCGGAUUGUAAAGCACUUUAAGUUGGGAGGAAGGGCAGUAAGUUAAUACCUUGCUGUUUUGACGUUACCAACAGAAUAAGCACCGGCUAACUUCGUG